CCUACGGGAGGCAGCAGUGGGGAAUAUUGGGCAAUGGGCGCAAGCCUGACCCAGCAACGCCGCGUGAAGGAAGAAGGCUUUCGGGUUGUAAACUUCUUUUAAGAGGGAAGAGCAGAAGACGGUACCUCUUGAAUAAGCCACGGCUAACUACGUGCCAGCAGCCGCGGUAAUACGUAGGUGGCAAGCGUUGUCCGGAUUUACUGGGUGUAAAGGACGUUUAGCCGGGCUGACAAGUCAGAUUUGAAAUUCCGGGGCUCAACCCCGGACCUGCAUUUUAAACUGUUGGUCUUGAGUAUCGGAGAGGCAUGCGGAAUUCCUAGUGUAGCGGUGAAAUGCGUAGAUAUUAGGAGGAACACCAGUGGCGAAGGCGGCCUGCUGGACGACAACUGACGGUGAGGCGCGAAAGCGUGGGGAGCAAACAGGAUUAGAUACCCGAGUAGUC
RNAcentral lists this ribosomal RNA (442 nucleotides) under uncultured bacterium. RNAcentral's name for it is "partial 16S ribosomal RNA". It matches the Rfam family "Bacterial small subunit ribosomal RNA", at positions 338 to 795 of the family's 1533-position model. The record is from RNAcentral.